Molecule: ribosomal RNA, 251 nt
Filed under: uncultured bacterium
Lineage: Bacteria
Description: partial 16S ribosomal RNA
Rfam family: Bacterial small subunit ribosomal RNA
Source: RNAcentral
ACGUAGGUCACGAGCGUUGUCCGGAAUUACUGGGUGUAAAGGGAGCGCAGGCGGGAAGACAAGUUGGAAGUGAAAUCCAUGGGCUCAACCCAUGAACUGCUUUCAAAACUGUUUUUCUUGAGUAGUGCAGAGGUAGGCGGAAUUCCCGGUGUAGCGGUGGAAUGCGUAGAUAUCGGGAGGAACACCAGUGGCGAAGGCGGCCUACUGGGCACCAACUGACGCUGAGGCUCGAAAGUGUGGGUAGCAAACAG